Molecule: ribosomal RNA, 387 nt
Filed under: Triticum aestivum (bread wheat)
Lineage: Eukaryota; Viridiplantae; Streptophyta; Magnoliopsida; Poales; Poaceae
Description: partial small subunit ribosomal RNA
Source: RNAcentral
AUGCACGAUGGUACCGACUCCGUCAAGGAAUCCAAAUUGGACAUGCUUCAAAGUCAGCUUGACAAGUUCAAAAUGAAGGAUGUUGAAGGUGUCGCUGAAAUGUACUCUAGGCUUGCUCUCAUCACAAAUGAGAUUGCCGACUUAGGAAGUGAAGAGAUGACUAACAGAUUCAUCAUCAAAAAUAUCCUAAGAGCCUUGGAUGGAAAAUAUGAUACCAUGUGCACAUUGAUCCAAAUGAUGCCCUACUACAAAGAUCUCAAGCCAACGGAAGUCAUUGGAAGAAUUGUGAUAAAGAAGAGCUGCACAACAAGUCUAGUGGUGCUUACAAAGCCUCAUGUGAUGUUCCUACAUUGUCAAGUGAGAAAUAAGCCUUCAAUGAAGAAUUGA